This 254-nucleotide ribosomal RNA is filed under the name uncultured bacterium. Its description in RNAcentral is "partial 16S ribosomal RNA". It matches the Rfam family "Bacterial small subunit ribosomal RNA", at positions 524 to 776 of the family's 1533-position model. The record is from RNAcentral.
UACAGAGGUCUCAAGCGUUGUUCGGAUUUACUGGGCGUAAAGCGCGCGUAGGCGGCUAACUAAGUCUGAGGUGAAAGGUUCAACGCUCAACGUGAACAGUGCCUUGGAGACUGGUUGGCUUGAGUGUGGCAGAGGAGCAUGGAAUUCCUGGUGUAGCGGUGAAAUGCGUAGAGAUCAGGAGGAAUACCAAUGGCGAAGGCAGUGCUCUGGGCUAACACUGACGCUGAGGUGCGAAAGCGUGGGUAGCGAACGGG